This 156-nucleotide ribosomal RNA is filed under the name basidiomycete sp. OS-S78. RNAcentral's name for it is "5.8S ribosomal RNA". It matches the Rfam family "5.8S ribosomal RNA". From Rfam's summary of the family: 5.8S ribosomal RNA (5.8S rRNA) is a component of the large subunit of the eukaryotic ribosome. It is transcribed by RNA polymerase I as part of the 45S precursor that also contains 18S and 28S rRNA. Lineage: Eukaryota; Fungi; Basidiomycota. The record is from RNAcentral.
AACUUUCAACAACGGAUCUCUUGGCUCUCGAAUCGAUGAAGAACGCAGCGAAAUGCGAUAAGUAAUGUGAAUUGCAGAAUUCAGUGAAUCAUCGAAUCUUUGAACGCACCUUGCGCCCUUUGGCAUUCCGAAGGGCACGCCUGUUUGAGUGUCGUG